CACGGGGUUGCGAGCGUUGUCCGGAACUUACUAGGCGUAAAGGGCAGGCAGGCGGAUCCAUAAGUUUAUCGUUUAAGGCGUCGGCUUAACCGGCGUAGGGCGGUAGAUACUGUGGAUCUUGAAUGCGGUUGGGGAAGACAGAGUUCCUGGUGUAGCGGUGGAAUGCGCAGAGAUCAGGAGGAAUACCGAAGGCGAAGGCAGUCUUCCAAGCCGUUAUUGACGCUCAACUGCGAAGGUGUGGGUAUCAAACAGGAUUAGAUACCCUGGUAGUCCCUGA
Molecule: ribosomal RNA, 277 nt
Filed under: uncultured prokaryote
Description: partial 16S ribosomal RNA
Rfam family: Bacterial small subunit ribosomal RNA
Source: RNAcentral